This 327-nucleotide ribosomal RNA is filed under the name uncultured eukaryote. RNAcentral's name for it is "partial 18S ribosomal RNA". It matches the Rfam family "Eukaryotic small subunit ribosomal RNA", at positions 1470 to 1796 of the family's 1831-position model. The record is from RNAcentral.
CCCUUAGAUGUUCUGGGCCGCACGCGCGCUACACUGAUUCAUGCAACAAGUUUUGUCCUUGGCUGAUAGGCCUGGGUAAUCUUUGAACGCGAAUCGUGAUGGGGAUAGAUGAUUGCAAUUAUUCAUCUUCAACGAGGAAUUCCUAGUAAACGCAAGUCAUCAGCUUGCAUUGAUUACGUCCCUGCCCUUUGUACACACCGCCCGUCGCACCUACCGAUUGAAUGGUCCGGUGAAAUCUUCGGAUCUGAGAGAUGUCUGAUUAAUUUCGGACGCCUUUUGGAAAAGUUGUUUAAACCUUACCAUUUAGAGGAAGGUGAAGUCGUAACA